This 171-nucleotide long non-coding RNA is filed under the name Sus scrofa (pig). RNAcentral describes it as "lncRNA (ENSSSCG00005020872.1, ENSSSCG00035076794.1)". Lineage: Eukaryota; Metazoa; Chordata; Mammalia; Artiodactyla; Suidae. The record is from RNAcentral.
CAUGAUGAAGCAUUUGAUUGAAACAGAUGUUUUGGCCUUAUUUUUUAAACAGUCGUUCUUGCUAUCAGUCAUUCUUCAUUUGAACCAUCUUCUCUUGGACCAGCCUGCUUCCUGCAAAGAUGGAACUAAUAGAAGUCACAGUGAUGGACUCUAGUGAAAAAUGAAAACCAG